RNAcentral lists this ribosomal RNA (253 nucleotides) under uncultured bacterium. Its description in RNAcentral is "partial 16S ribosomal RNA". It matches the Rfam family "Bacterial small subunit ribosomal RNA", at positions 524 to 776 of the family's 1533-position model. The record is from RNAcentral.
UACGAAGGGGGCUAGCGUUGUUCGGAAUUACUGGGCGUAAAGCGCACGUAGGCGGACAUUUAAGUCAGGGGUGAAAUCCCAGAGCUCAACUCUGGAACUGCCUUUGAUACUGGGUGUCUUGAGUAUGGAAGAGGUGAGUGGAAUUCCGAGUGUAGAGGUGAAAUUCGUAGAUAUUCGGAAGAACACCAGUGGCGAAGGCGGCUCACUGGACCGGCAUUGACGCUGAGGUGCGAAAGCGUGGGGAGCAAACAGG